RNAcentral lists this ribosomal RNA (497 nucleotides) under uncultured bacterium. Its description in RNAcentral is "partial 16S ribosomal RNA". It matches the Rfam family "Bacterial small subunit ribosomal RNA", at positions 28 to 507 of the family's 1533-position model. The record is from RNAcentral.
GAUGAACGCUGGCGGCGUGCCUAAUACAUGCAAGUCGAGCGAACAGACGAGGAGCUUGCUCCUCUGACGUUAGCGGCGGACGGGUGAGUAACACGUGGAUAACCUACCUAUAAGACUGAGAUAACUUCGGGAAACCGGAGCUAAUACCGGAUAAUAUAUUGAACCGCAUGGUUCAAUAGUGAAAGACGGUUUUGCUGUCACUUAUAGAUGGAUCCGCGCCGCAUUAGCUAGUUGGUAAGGUAACGGCUUACCAAGGCAACGAUGCGUAGCCGACCUGAGAGGGUGAUCAGCCACACUGGAACUGAGACACGGUCCAGACUCCUACGGGAGGCAGCAGUGGGGAAUAUUGGACAAUGGGCGAAAGCCUGAUGGAGCCAUGCCGCGUGAGUGAAGAAGGUCUUCGGAUUGUAAAGCUCUUUAAGUGGGGAGGAAGAGAAGUAAGUUAAUACCUUCCUGUUUUGACGUUACCAACAGAAAAAGCACCGGCUAACUUCGUG